Long non-coding RNA from Vidua chalybeata, 534 nucleotides. RefSeq lists it as uncharacterized. Lineage: Eukaryota; Metazoa; Chordata; Aves; Passeriformes; Viduidae. The transcript has 3 exons. The record is from RefSeq and is a predicted model, not a curated record.
CGCGCUCCCGGCCCCGCCCCCAGGCGUGGCCCCGCCCCUUUCCCCGUUCCGGUUCCGAGCCCGCUCCGGACCGGCGCCGCUCCCGCAGCCGCUCCCAGUGCUCCCAGUAGCGCCCCGCUGCCCUCCCAGUGCUCCCAGUGCCGCCCCAGCGCUCCCAGUACCCCCCCAGUAACCCCCCCAGUAACUCCCAGUGCCGCCCAGUAACUCCCAGUGCCCCCCCAGUAGCUCCCAGUGCUCUCCCAGUAACUCCCAGCGCUCCCAGUUCCCCCCCCAGCGUUCUCCCAGUAGCUCCCAGUGCCUCCCAGUGCCUCCCAGUAGCUCCCAGUCCGGCAUGUUCCUGGUGAAGGGGCUGCUGGGGGGCGGGGGCGGUGGGGGAGGGGCCGGGGGGGGCCUCCCCGGGGGCAUCGGCUCCGUCCUGGGGGGGCUCCUGAGCGGGGAGGGGGCGGGGGCGGCGCCGGGGGGGCCAUGGGGGUCCUGGGGGGCGUCAUCAGCGCCAUCAGCGAAGCCGCCGCCCACUACAACCCCGAGCCCCCC